GGGCCCAUAGCUCAGUUGGUUAGAGCGGAUGACUCAUAAUCAUUAGGUCGCUGGUUCAAGCCCAGCUGGGCCCACCA
This 77-nucleotide transfer RNA is filed under the name Prolixibacter denitrificans. RNAcentral's name for it is "tRNA-Met". It matches the Rfam family "tRNA". Rfam says of the family: Transfer RNA (tRNA) molecules are approximately 80 nucleotides in length. Their secondary structure includes four short double-helical elements and three loops (D, anti-codon, and T loops). Lineage: Bacteria; Pseudomonadati; Bacteroidota; Bacteroidia; Marinilabiliales; Prolixibacteraceae. RNAcentral also lists the same sequence under 1 other name. The record is from RNAcentral.